AGAGCCUACUGUUAGCCCUAGCUCCUGCCAACCUAGCAGUUCCAAAACAUGCAAAUGUGAGUAGAUCAAUAGGUACCGCUCCGGCAAGAAGGUAACGGCGCUCCAUACAGUCAUGCCGGCCACAUGACCUUGGAGGUGUCUACGGACAACGCCGGCUCUUCGGCUUAGAAAUGGAGAUGAGCAUCAACCCCCAGAGUCAGGGGAAAACCUUUACCUUUACCUUUUACUAUACCUUGGCACAGUUUGAGGAUAAUGCCUCCUGUGGUGGUAGAGGAUGAUGGGAGUUGUAAUCCUGCUGUGUUUGGAAACCCAUGGGAAAUUAUUGAAACAGUUGUUUCCCUGAUAUUCCUCAUCUUCUUAUUGUGGUUGGCAUGCCUGCUGUGUGCAUUUUAAAGGAUGUGUUCUUUUUUCUACUUGCCCAGAUCUCUCUCUGGGGAUCUGACAAGAGUCAAACUGAGAACCAUUGGAGGUCCAGGAGAAAAGGCUGUUCAUGUGGAGGCUCCCUCCCUUUAAUGCCCUUUCUCCUUCCUUUGGAUGUUGCGGGAAAACAGCCAAGGUUUGUGCAACCCUUUGGCCACUCCCUCCCAGAAAAGGUGCAAAACCUAGCUGGGAUCGGCCAGAGCGUUCAGUCAAAGGCAAGGAGGCAACACACCUGGACAGAGAGCACUUCAGGCAGCAGGAGUGACAGCUUUCUGAGUCGCUUACAAGGGUGACUGCUGCUCCGGGGGUUGCCGGUGUGUAUCACGGGACUUCUGAUAAGCUGGCUGGUGUCUUCAUUUUGUGGUCCAGUAGAAGUUGUUUCCUCUCAACUCGGUGCCCGCCAUCUUGCCGUUGCUGUGGGCCUUGGGACCUGUAAUCUGCCUUCGAUCAUGUUUAAAAGGUAAAGGUAAAGGUUUCCCCUGACGUUAAGUCCAGUCAUGUCUGACUCUGGGGGUUGGUGCUCAUCUCCAUUUCUAAGCCGAAGAGCUGGCGUUGUCCGUAGACACCUCCAAGGUCAUGUGGCCGGCAUGACUGCAUGGAGCGCCCUUACCUUCUAAUAAUAUUUAUGAGGACCUUUAUAUUCUUUAUUUGCACUUUACAAUUCUGAGAUUGAAUACUUCUGUUUUAUCGACAGCAAUUGCUGUAUUUUAUUGUUUUUACCAGGGGGUACUGUGAAUUUAUGAUGUUAUGUUUGACUGUUUAUUCUCUAUGUUUUGUUUUGCACUUGUUGUAUUUUGUAUGUCACACCUUGAGUGUUCUGUGAGCCACUUCGAGUCCCUCUGGGAGAUGGUGGCGGGAUAUAAAUAGAUGCUGAUGAUUAUUUAUUUAUUUAUUUAUUUAUUUACAGCAUUUAUAUUCUGCCCUUCUCACCCCGAAGGGGACUCAGGGCGAAUCACAUUACACAUAUAGGCAAACAUUCAAUGCCUUUUAACAUAGAACAAAGACAAACAAA
Molecule: long non-coding RNA, 1432 nt
Filed under: Anolis carolinensis (green anole)
Lineage: Eukaryota; Metazoa; Chordata; Lepidosauria; Squamata; Anolidae
Description: lncRNA (ENSACAG00000045491.1)
Source: RNAcentral